GAUCCUGGCUCAGGAUGAACGCUAGCGGCAGGCUAACACAUGCAAGUCGAGGGGCAACGCGAGUAGCAAUACUUGGCGGCGACCGGCGCAAGGGUGCGUAACGCGUGAGCAACAUGCCCGUAUCAGGGGGAUAAUCCAGGGAAACUUGGUCUAAUACCCCAUAGUAAUUUUUGUAAGGCAUCUUAUAAGAUUUAAAGCUUUGGUGGAUACGGAUUGGCUCGCGUGACAUUAGCUGGAUGGUAAGGUAACGGCUUACCAUGGCUAUGAUGUCUAGGGGUUCUGAGAGGAAGGUCCCCCACACUGGAACUGAGACACGGUCCAGACUCCUACGGGAGGCAGCAGUGAGGAAUAUUGGACAAUGGAUGGAAAUCUGAUCCAGCCAUGCCGCGUGAAAAGGAAGAAGGUCCUAUGGAUUGUAAACUUCUUUUGUAUGGGAGCAAUAAGGCCUACGAGUAGGUUGAUGAGAGUACCAUACGAAUAAGCACCGGCUAACUCCGUGCCAGCCGCCGC
Molecule: ribosomal RNA, 510 nt
Filed under: uncultured bacterium
Lineage: Bacteria
Description: bacterial SSU rRNA
Rfam family: Bacterial small subunit ribosomal RNA
Source: RNAcentral